This 253-nucleotide ribosomal RNA is filed under the name uncultured bacterium. Its description in RNAcentral is "partial 16S ribosomal RNA". It matches the Rfam family "Archaeal small subunit ribosomal RNA", at positions 474 to 728 of the family's 1478-position model. The record is from RNAcentral.
UACCAGCACCCCGAGUGGUCGGGACGUUAUUGGGCCUAAAGCAUCCGUAGCCGGUUCUACAAGUCUUCCGUUAAAUCCAGCUGCUUAACAGAUGGGCUGCGGAAGAUACUAUGGAGCUAGGAGGCGGGAGAGGCAAGCGGUACUCGAUGGGUAGGGGUAAAAUCCGUUGAUCCAUUGAAGACCACCAGUGGCGAAGGCGGCUUGCCAGAACGCGCUCGACGGUGAGGGAUGAAAGCUGGGGGAGCAAACCGGG